AAGGGAGACCUAAUUCCGGUAGGAGACAAAAAAAAGUAGUCCCUACCAAGAAUCAAUCCCAAAAGGUCGGAGCGAGGCAAAAUUGGCUUUCAAACUGGGUUCUGGGUUCAAACAAGACCUGAAUCAGGAACAAGGGCUAUUAGCUCAGGUGGUUAGAGCGCACCCCUGAUAAGGGUGAGGUCCCUGGUUCGAGUCCAGGAUGGCCCACCUGCACAGGUGGCAAAAACAAAGAAGCGAGGAAUCAGCACCUUAUCUUACUGACAUAGUAAGAGAGAAUGCUGGCUCUGAGUAAAGAGUCCUGAGGAACCUUGAAAACUGCAUAGAGCUAGGUGAAAAAGCCAAAAAAGAAGACCGCAAGGUCAAGCUAAUAAGGGCUAACGGUGGAUACCUAGGCAC
RNAcentral lists this transfer RNA (396 nucleotides) under uncultured Microcystis sp. RNAcentral's name for it is "partial contains 16S-23S ribosomal RNA intergenic spacer, and 23S ribosomal RNA". The stretch from base 134 to 207 matches the Rfam family "tRNA". The record is from RNAcentral. Lineage: Bacteria; Bacillati; Cyanobacteriota; Cyanophyceae; Chroococcales; Microcystaceae.